Molecule: long non-coding RNA, 1566 nt
Organism: Aegilops tauschii subsp. strangulata
Lineage: Eukaryota; Viridiplantae; Streptophyta; Magnoliopsida; Poales; Poaceae
Source: RefSeq, a predicted model, not a curated record
ACGGUGAGGAUGAUAAGGUGAAGACAAAGUGCUGCUAUGCUCAUGGCAAGAGAUGUGGACAUGUUAACUUUUGCUGACUUGAAUCCGUCCGCCGCUCCUCUAGGCUCUGCACCAUGCCGAGACAUCCGCGUCCCAACUCUCCCUUCUCCCUGGUGGGCUCUCAUCCAACUGGAGACAGCCGCGUCCCCGAUGGCUGCUGCUGGACCUGACCCCUCCUCGUUGCCUGGGCGCAUCCCCGAUGGGGAGUUGGAGGUUGGGUUGUUGAUGUUAUGGAAGACUCAUUUCCAGGUUCCAGCCUUGAUUUGUCUCCUCCAAGAAGGAAUACACCAGGAGAAACAGCCGCUGGCCUUGUCCUUCUCGAGGAGGAGCAGGAGGGGCGCACCUAGCCACCACGGUCGCCGCCGUUAAGGGCUUCUUCCACCUGGACCUCGAAAUCAACGCCGCCGACGUCCAGCCACCCAAGGUGAAGGUGCCCCCAACUCCCCUCCGUCCCCUCUCCCCUCCCUAUUUCAUUUGAUCUAGCAGCCAUGGAUUUGGGUUCCUCAAGGUUGCCUAAUUACUUUACUUUGUAUAGAUCCAACAAUUUUGUUUGCUACAGAAUAGCACCACCCUAGUUAGUCUACAAUUUUGUUUACGGUGAUGCCCCUGCACAGGAUGUGCAGCAAGCCUUCCAAUCUUCUUGUUUUGUUUCUGUUGGUGUGUGUGUGUGCAAAAUGAUAGGUGCCUGCCAUGUGGUUUAUAAACACACAGUUAUAACAGUAAGAUGAUAUUCAGGCCCUGUUUGAAGUCACUCCAGCUCCUAAAAAUACAAGGAGUUGCGAAGCAUCUGUUUCCCAGCUUAGUGCUUUUUAACUCCAUCUCCGAGAGCGGAGUGGUGGAGUGGUGGGUCUCCGAACAGGGCCUCAAAUUGCUUAAGAUGUGCUUUCAGUCCUAACUAGACAAUCUCCUGCUUUACAUGUAGUUGCUUUGCAUAUCCUGUAAAUAAUUUCUUGGCACGCCCAUUCUGCCAUGUCAACGAUGAUGAUCUAAUUAUGAUUUCUGCCAAUGGAUGGAUCCACAUGAUGCGACGGACCUGCUGCUGCCGGCUGUCUUCCCCGACCACUUCUGUGAGCUGCUCCUGCCGCUGACCCUCUUCAACUUCGCCCGUUGCCCGCUGUUGCUGCUGGUGCCACUUGACGCAAGUGUGGAGCCUACGCCUCCUUGCUGAAGCUUCUUGCGCUACACCAGCUUACGUUGCUUUCGUUGCUGCGAAUGUGGUUAAGAUGGCGUUCUACACCAGCUUCUUAUGUUGCAUAUGAAUGGGGAAGGCAAGUUGUCACAUCAGGAGCACAUCAGAGGGAGCAAUGAAGUUUGUACUAUUUGGUUCUUACAAUUAGGACAGUACCAGAUGUGCUAAUACGACUUGAACAAUGUGAUGUAGUUGUAAGUUAAGGCAAAUUGUGUGGAUGAUGUAUUCCUGUGUAAUUAAAUGUUGUAUUCCAUGUGUACAUGCCGCUUUAAAUGACAUCAAGAUUAUGAAAAUUGUGUACAUGCUACUUCAUAUGGGUUGAAUAUGACAGAAAAUAG